GAGGGCAGGGUGAGCGGAGGGGGAGUCGGCGGAGGAGAGAGGGGCGAGCAGGGGAGGAGAGGGGGUGCGGCGGGGAGGAGAAGGGCGAGCAGAGGAGGAGAGGAGAAGGGAGCUGCAGCAGGGACGAAGGGAGAGACUGGGCCCGGUCUCGGAGCGGCCGGCGAGGGGGGGUCGGCCACAGGGAGAAGUCUACGUAGGAGGUGCUCUAGGCCCAUGCCUCUCUCAGUACCACCGUCCCCGUCUACGCACUCCUCCUCUUCCGGCACCAGUACCACCGCGCUGCCUCCAGCACCGAGCGGGGGCGGCGAAGAGAGCGCGGGGGGAAAAGGGACGGGGGAGGGGCCGCAGGAACGGAGACGGUACCGGAGGUGGGAGGGAGAGGUAGCUGGAAGGACUCGAGAGGUAGAAGCCCCCAGCGGUGGUAGGCUACGGCGUGCGGUACUAAGGUCUAGCCGACGUCCAACUCUUCCUCGCCAACGACGUCACUCCCGUCGUCCCAGGGGUGGGGCCACCGACGCACGUCUCCCCCUCACCAGUUCCUGCCAACGGUCAAGUACCUCCUCUCUACGUUGUGUCGGCACUCGAGAAAGAAGGAGGAAAGGAGUAGAAGGGUACCACUUGACUCGAGUAUGAAGGAAAAAAAAGAAGAUUAACACGUGUAUCACAAACCCAACGUCAACUAAGGAUGUGAGUCAAAGUCACCACCGUACCACAGGUAGAGGUCCGGCCAACGUUGGAAGACGGGGGUAGUAAGGGACAUAAAAAAAAGUAUUAAAUGUGUGAUUCAACAUCUAACCAGCCUAGAUAACCGUAAUCCGUCGUGUUCUUAUUGUUAUAAACAGACGAAAAAGUACACGUCCAAGUCGUCGCCGUUACGAGUUCUAUCUCAAUCCGGCCAGACUUAUUUGUCUCUACUCGUCGUCGUCCCAACCCACGGGGUAAACAUGCGUAACGUAACCAAUUAAAACAACACGAGUACAAAGGCAAAGUACGGAGUUCGAGUUCUGCGCGCUCCACUACCAAACCAACCCUACCACGACGACGAGGCGUUCAUGCUCGAAGACGUGACACAAAACGAGAGAGUUGAACGGAGGGGAACUUACUUACCUGCGUCUUAUUACACAACUGUUCGAUGUACUCCAACCCGAAACGCUAACGUGGGACAAACACACGACCGUCCUUCCUUCUUGAUUCUUUUUCACACAACAAAGCGACCUAAGAAGAAGGAAACUAAAGUGGUUUGAAACACCGUCACCAACCGAAGAGCUGAGGCUGUGAGACAUACCUGAUCGGGCCAGAAACGGGUCUUCAAGAUCUUCCAUGUUACGACUUUUAAGUCAUCUUGUACCACGAGGAUAUUUAUGACUAUUAGGCCUUGGACCGUUGGUAACCGAAAACUUCAAACCGUCAAACAAUUUCUCGUUUAACUAGGUUCACUUAACUAGGUUCAUUUCUCGUUUUGACUUCAUGGUUACAUGGAGAAUAUUUAAACCAGUGAUAACACGAGAGACUGUCCUUACGUUCAAAACACUAUUUCCCAGGUGUCGGUUUCGUGGUGAGCUCAAAGUAUACGUCAUGUUUCUGCUCCGAUCUUUAACUAGAAUUCAGACUUCCUUGCAGUGAAAACACUCAAAACAAAGAGAUGAGGGAGUAUACGUCAUGUUUCUGCUCCGAUCUUUAACUGGAGUUCAGACUUCCUUGCCGUGAAAACACUCCUUUCUUCUUGUUCCUAAUCGUUCUCCGACGAUUCCUCCGACGUUGUGGAGCACGGGUUGUACCUGUUCGUUUGUUUAUGAAGUCUGUACGACGCAUAACGACAUCUGAUGUAGUUUCACCCACGACGUCCUGGUUUAACUCCAACAACUAGACCUCUACUGACCGAGUUGACUCUGACAUGGUGAAGUGGCGGAACUGCUUAGCUUCCUAAUGAAUCAUUAAAAAGACCACUGUGGUUAGUCCGGUCUAACAUUCGGGAAGGGACGUCAAACAAACUAGUCCAAUGGGGUAACAAGUUUCACCUAUACGUACCACGAACACCUAAGUACGAUAAACCUGGCUUAAACCGAAAAACUGGACCAAUCCGUAAAAGAAUAAGUACGAUAAACCUGGAUUAAACGUCUUGCAAUUUCAGUGGUCGAUCCUAAAACUGGACCAAUAGACCAAAACCGAAUAUCGUGUUGUACCGCCAUCACAUCUUUUCUAGAUUUGUCUAAGACUUAAUUGGGUUGAUCUGUACCUUUGGUUCUUGCUGGAUAGCCGACCCAGGUCAAGGAGUAGAAACAGAGGCUCGUUUUACUAGUAGACCACUGCUUGUGGAGGAGGAAGAGAAGAGAUAUACACGAGGAGGGAUUUCCUCUAGGCCUAAGACAAAGAUAAUCGUUGUCUAUACAACUAAACGACGAUGGACUUUGUAAACAGUCACUGUGUUAUUACAACUUAGAAAGAAACGAUAGACGUGUUAGUAGAAAAUAAAAUAUCGGAAUUAACAAUUUACCACUACAGGUUAAUGUGAAAAAAACGACGGUGUUAACGAUAACAUUAUAAACAUCUAAACUAAUGGACGAAACAAUAUACGUCUACGUAUACGUCGAGACAUAAAUACAAAAGAAUUCAACAUAUACGUACCGGAUAUUUACUAUAUCAACAUAUAUAUACCAACAUAUAUGUCAUGUUCCUCGUGAGACUUAGUACCAACAUAUAUGUUAUGUCCCUCGUUGAAAUUAGUACUACGUAUACCGGAGUAAAAUUAACUUAAUACUUCUCCAAAACGAGACAAAACACAUAACAUUAUACCCCAAAUCGAUACACCAUAUGUUAAUUACCCUUAACGAAAAAAGGAAAUUAUAACUUUCGAUCUCUUGACCUCCAUCUCAUUAUUUUCGACGAAGGAACGUCUCAAAAAACACGUCUCAGCACCUACGUAUUAUAAUAGGAGUAAUACAAGAGAAACGUACAAGAUAACAUCCUUCGCCUACGAUGGUUCUAGUACGGUUUCCGUCUCGUACGGUUUCCGCUACGAGUAAGGGCAAGAAUCACUCUACCCAAAUAAGCUACGUUUCAUACUCGUAACGUCUGAGACCGCUCGACAACUUCCAGCUACUCCUCCUGCGGCGGUGGUGGCAGUAGUCCGACCAGGUGUAGGUGCGCGACGAGCCGCAGCGGUCCAGUGGCCGUGUUGAGGAGUGCGGGUCCAGUAAGUUGUAAAAGAAAGCGAAAACCACACAACGUAAAUCUCAGAAAGAAAGGGUAAAAUGGCACAAACGUACCAUUCUACAAACCAACCUAAACUUCCAAGUAUCGGAACCGAGGUUUCGAAGUUCGAGAAUAUCUUUAAUCUUGACUCCCGGAAAAUUUUACUCAGGACGUAUUAUCACAACAAGUCACCCUACGUCUAACAAACCAUCAGACUAGCCGAUAGGAACCACGACUAAAUACAUGACUAAAGUAGUAGUAUACUGAUGUUAUUUCUUCAAUACACAUAUUUAUAAUGCUUGACGACUAUGAAACGUAGUCACUAAAGUUAAGAUAACCGGGAGGAAUUCUAACGAACCCUUACACUCCG
RNAcentral lists this ribosomal RNA (3562 nucleotides) under Triticum aestivum (bread wheat). RNAcentral describes it as "partial small subunit ribosomal RNA". The record is from RNAcentral. Lineage: Eukaryota; Viridiplantae; Streptophyta; Magnoliopsida; Poales; Poaceae.